Molecule: ribosomal RNA, 305 nt
Filed under: uncultured bacterium
Lineage: Bacteria
Description: bacterial SSU rRNA
Rfam family: Bacterial small subunit ribosomal RNA
Source: RNAcentral
CCUACGGGGGGCAGCAGUGGGGAAUAUUGCACAAUGGGGGAAACCCUGAUGCAGCAACGCCGCGUGAGUGAAGAAGUAUUUCGGUAUGUAAAGCUCUAUCAGCAGGGAAGAGAAUGACGGUACCUGACUAAGAAGCCCCGGCUAACUACGUGCCAGCAGCCGCGGUAAUACGUAGGGGGCGAGCGUUAUCCGGAUUUACUGGGUGUAAAGGGAGCGCAGGCGGCUUGGCAAGUCUGAUGUGAAAGGCUGGGGCUCAACCCCAGGACUGCAUUGGAAACUGUUAGGCUGGAGUGUCGGAGAGGUAA